RNAcentral lists this long non-coding RNA (308 nucleotides) under Ananas comosus (pineapple). RNAcentral's name for it is "long non-coding RNA (ACOM_LNC004391)". The record is from RNAcentral. Lineage: Eukaryota; Viridiplantae; Streptophyta; Magnoliopsida; Poales; Bromeliaceae.
CCUUUUCUACAGCUUCUUAUCUUUUAUCUUCUUCUCCUUCUUCUUUUUCGUUUAUAUGAUGAUUGUUUGGGUUUUCAGUAACCGAUACUCAGAUUACGGUGAUCAAUUUUUUGCGAGUUUUUGUUGGUAGAUAUUAGUUUCUUCUUUUUUUUCUAUCCGUUUCAUUUAUAUUUUUUAGAAAUGAGCAAAGUUAGAGAGAGAUGUCAAUUGUCAAUAUAAAGUCAAUUAAAUAUAUAUGCUAGAUACGAUCGGUUGAUUGAUAUUGAUAUAUUGACAUUUUGUAGUUGUAUACGAAGUAACGCUAGUUG